This 2909-nucleotide ribosomal RNA is filed under the name Enterococcus faecium. Its description in RNAcentral is "23S ribosomal RNA". It matches the Rfam family "Bacterial large subunit ribosomal RNA". The record is from RNAcentral. Lineage: Bacteria; Bacillati; Bacillota; Bacilli; Lactobacillales; Enterococcaceae.
UUAAGUGAAUAAGGGCGCACGGUGGAUGCCUUGGCACUAGGAGCCGAUGAAGGACGGGACUAACACCGAUAUGCUUUGGGGAGCUGUACGUAAGCUAUGAUCCAGAGAUUUCCGAAUGGGGGAACCCAGCAUCUUUAAUAGGAUGUUACGAUUGUGUGAAUACAUAGCAUAUUCGAGGUAGACGCAGAGAACUGAAACAUCUAAGUACCUGCAGGAAGAGAAAGAAAAUUCGAUUCCCUGAGUAGCGGCGAGCGAAACGGGAAAAGCCCAAACCAGCAAGCUUGCUUGUUGGGGUUGUAGGACUCCAAUAUGGUAGUUCUUUCAGAUAGUCGAAUGACUUGGAAAAGUCAGUCAAAGAGGGUAAAAACCCCGUAGACGAAAUGUGGAAGACACCUAGGAGGAUCCUGAGUACGGCGGAACACGAGAAAUUCCGUCGGAAUCCGGGAGGACCAUCUCCCAAGGCUAAAUACUCCCUAGUGACCGAUAGUGAACCAGUACCGUGAGGGAAAGGUGAAAAGCACCCCGGAAGGGGAGUGAAAUAGAACCUGAAACCGUGUGCCUACAACAAGUCAAAGCCCGUUAAUGGGUGAUGGCGUGCCUUUUGUAGAAUGAACCGGCGAGUUACGAUUGCAUGCGAGGUUAAGUUGAAGAGACGGAGCCGCAGCGAAAGCGAGUCUGAAUAGGGCGUUUGAGUAUGUAGUCGUAGACCCGAAACCAUGUGAUCUACCCAUGUCCAGGUUGAAGGUGCGGUAAAACGCACUGGAGGACCGAACCCACGUACGUUGAAAAGUGCGGGGAUGAGGUGUGGGUAGCGGAGAAAUUCCAAACGAACUUGGAGAUAGCUGGUUCUCUCCGAAAUAGCUUUAGGGCUAGCCUCGGAAUUGAGAAUGAUGGAGGUAGAGCACUGUUUGGACUAGGGGCCCAUCUCGGGUUACCGAAUUCAGAUAAACUCCGAAUGCCAUUCAUUCAUAUCCGGGAGUCAGACUGUGAGUGAUAAGAUCCAUAGUCGAAAGGGAAACAGCCCAGACCACCAGCUAAGGUCCCAAAAUAUAUGUUAAGUGGAAAAGGAUGUGGGGUUGCACAGACAACUAGGAUGUUGGCUUAGAAGCAGCCACCAUUUAAAGAGUGCGUAAUAGCUCACUAGUCGAGUGACCCUGCGCCGAAAAUGUACCGGGGCUAAACAUAUUACCGAAGCUGUGGAGUACACCUUUAGGUGUAUUGGUAGGAGAGCGUUCUAAGGGCGUUGAAGGCAGAUCGUGAGGACUGCUGGAGCGCUUAGAAGUGAGAAUGCCGGUAUGAGUAGCGAAAGACAGCCGCUUUAACUUUUCUCAUGGUGACCAUGAAGAACAAUUAUCACGUAUGACUAUGGUCCGUGAAGCAGUUAAAACCGAGGCCGACAGGCGUAGGCGAUGGAUAACAGGUUGAUAUUCCUGUACCCGUUGUUUUUGUUUGAGCAAUGGAGGGACGCAGGAGGCUAAGGAAUGCAGACGAUCGGAAAUGUCUGUCCAAGCAGUAAGUCUGAAGAGGAGUCAAAUGCUUCUUUUCUUAAGGACAAGCUGUGAUGGGGAGGGAAAUAAUAGUACCGAAGUUCCUGAUGUCACACUGCCGAGAAAAGCUUCUAGUGAGAAAACAGCGGCCCGUACCGCAAACCGACACAGGUAGUCGAGGAGAGAAUCCUAAGGUGAGCGAGAGAACUCUCGUUAAGGAACUCGGCAAAAUGACCCCGUAACUUCGGGAGAAGGGGUGCUGAUCAUACGAUCAGCCGCAGUGAAUAGGCCCAAGCGACUGUUUAUCAAAAACACAGGUCUCUGCAAAAUCGUAAGAUGAAGUAUAGGGGCUGACGCCUGCCCGGUGCUGGAAGGUUAAGAGGAGUGCUUAGCGCAAGCGAAGGUACGAAUUGAAGCCCCAGUAAACGGCGGCCGUAACUAUAACGGUCCUAAGGUAGCGAAAUUCCUUGUCGGGUAAGUUCCGACCCGCACGAAAGGCGUAACGAUUUGGGCACUGUCUCAACGAGAGACUCGGUGAAAUUUUAGUACCUGUGAAGAUGCAGGUUACCCGCGACAGGACGGAAAGACCCCAUGGAGCUUUACUGUAGUUUGAUAUUGAGUGUCUGUACCGCAUGUACAGGAUAGGUAGGAGCCGUAGAAAUCGGAACGCUUGGCACAGAUGCAACAAUGCUAUCUGGUGAAUCUGCAAACGGGGACUACCCAGUUGCACCACUAAUCGUGGUGGGAGACAGUGUCAGAUGGGCAGUUUGACUGGGGCGGUCGCCUCCUAAAAGGUAACGGAGGCGCCCAAAGGUUCCCUCAGAAUGGUUGGAAAUCAUUCGAAGAGUGUAAAGGCAGAAGGGAGCUUGACUGCGAGACCAACAAGUCGAGCAGGGACGAAAGUCGGGCUUAGUGAUCCGGUGGUUCCGCAUGGAAGGGCCAUCGCUCAACGGAUAAAAGCUACCCUGGGGAUAACAGGCUUAUCUCCCCCAAGAGUCCACAUCGACGGGGAGGUUUGGCACCUCGAUGUCGGCUCGUCGCAUCCUGGGGCUGUAGUCGGUCCCAAGGGUUGGGCUGUUCGCCCAUUAAAGCGGCACGCGAGCUGGGUUCAGAACGUCGUGAGACAGUUCGGUCCCUAUCCGUCGCGGGCGUUGGAAAUUUGAGAGGAGCUGUCCUUAGUACGAGAGGACCGGGAUGGACUUACCGCUGGUGUACCAGUUGUUCUGCCAAGGGCAUUGCUGGGUAGCUAUGUAGGGAAGGGAUAAACGCUGAAAGCAUCUAAGUGUGAAGCCCACCUCAAGAUGAGAUUUCCCAUUUCUUUAAGAAAGUAAGAUCCCUGAGAGAUGAUCAGGUAGAUAGGUCAGGAGUGGAAGUACAGUGAUGUAUGGAGCGGACUGAUACUAAUCGAUCGAGGACUUAACC